CAGCAGCCGCGGUAAUACCGGCGGCCCGAGUGGCGGUCACUAUUAUUGGGCUUAAAGCGUCCGUAGCCGGGUUGGGAAGUCCUCCGGGAAAUCUGGCCGCUUUACCGUCCGAAUGCCGGAGGAUACUCCCAGCCUAGGGAGCGGGAGAGGCCGAGGGUAUUCCCGGGGUAGGGGUGGAAUCCUAUAAUCCCGGGAGGACCACCUGUGGGGAAGGCGCUCGGCUGGAACGCGUCCGACGGUGAGGGACGAAGGCCAGGGGAGCAAACCGGAUUAGAUACCCGGGUAGUCCUGGCGGUAAACGAUGCGGACUUUGUGUCGGACAAGCUAUGAGCUUGUCCGGUGCCGGAGGGAAACCGUUAAGUCCGCCGCCUGGGGAGUACGGCCGCAAGGCUGAAACUUAAAGGAAUUGGCGGG
Molecule: ribosomal RNA, 414 nt
Filed under: uncultured microorganism
Description: bacterial SSU rRNA
Rfam family: Archaeal small subunit ribosomal RNA
Source: RNAcentral